Odocoileus virginianus texanus is the source of this 928-nucleotide non-coding RNA. The record is from RefSeq and is a predicted model, not a curated record. NCBI's taxonomy places the organism in Eukaryota, Metazoa, Chordata, Mammalia, Artiodactyla, Cervidae.
GUGGACACACACCUGAAAGUAAUUAAGCACCCAAGGCAGCGGGAGGGAGGAAGGAAUGACUUCCUACAGAAGGGACUUUUGAGUGAGCUGUUGAGCAUCUCUCUUGGCUGUCCCAUCAAAUCCAUGCCUAGUUCCCAUGUCACUGUCAAAUAAGUUCCCAGUUUCUUAUUCACCUCAUCUUUGCACCCACAUCUCCCAUCACCAACGCACACCCAGAGACACUCCCAGUCCAGCAUUAAAUCCUGGCAUUUCUGCUUCUGUCUCCCUUCUCCUUUUCACACCUUUGGUCCAAACUGUAAUCACUGCCCACCUGGACCCAGUUAGCUCCCCCUCCUCCAGCCUGAGCGGGUUCCCUCUCAUCUGUCGGACACACAUCAUCGAGAAUCAUCUUCCUCAAGUGUCACUUAGAUCACAUUGCUCUCCUCUUCACAUGCCCGUAAAGGCUCCCAGCUGCCUCUCAAAUCAUAAUAAAACUCUUCGCAUCUCGGACUUCAAGGCCUACCACCAAUUAGCCCUGCUUUACCUAACUGCUGUCCAUUCCUGCCCAGCUCAGGUUGGCCCGCCUCGCUCCAGCCAAGCAAGGCCCUUCCACCUGCGCUGCCAUCCUGAGGCGCCCAAAGACCACCAUGUGUGUACAUUUGCAGGAGACUCCACUGUGCCUUUCCAGCACAGGUACUAACACUUCCAAUCUAGAAAUCAGACCCUGACUGGCAAGAUGGCAAGCGGCCGGCCUUUUGGCUAGAGUCCAGGUCUGCAGCACAGGCAGUGGACCUGCAGGAGCAUCUUCCCAGAGAGACAGACCCAGUCUAUAGUGACCUGAGCCAUGUGGUUAAACAGCGUCCCAGCAGACCCACCAGCUACAGUGACCUGACCCCAGGGGUUCUGUGUGUAGUGGGUUCUGGCCACAGAAAGCCACGGUACUAACUGA